RNAcentral lists this ribosomal RNA (558 nucleotides) under Triticum aestivum (bread wheat). Its description in RNAcentral is "partial small subunit ribosomal RNA". Lineage: Eukaryota; Viridiplantae; Streptophyta; Magnoliopsida; Poales; Poaceae. The record is from RNAcentral.
AUGGCAGGUUCUCACAAUGAUAUCAACGUGCUGCAACGUUCUCCAGUCUUCGCGAGACUUGCAGAAGGAAACUCCCCACCUGUCAACUUUGAGAUCAACGGCCACCAGUACAACAAAGGAUACUAUCUAGCAGAUGGUAUAUAUCCUAAGUGGUCAAUUUUUGUGAAGACAAUCUCGAAACCCCAAGGUGAGAAGAGAAAAAGAUUUGCCCAAAUGCAAGAGAGUGUUAGAAAGGAUGUGGAACGUGCUUUCGGUGUGCUUCAAUCCCGGUGGGGUAUCGUUCGAAACCCUGCACUGUCAUGGGAUGAAAGGAAGCUUUGGGAGGUGAUGACUGCUUGUGUGAUCAUGCACAACAUGAUCGUCGAGGAUGAGCGUGAUGAGAGUAUCUUCGACCAAGGAUUUGAUUAUCAAGGUGAAAAUAUUGAGCCCCUGCACCAAGACCCGGCCACAUUUGAACAGUUUGUCCAAUUCCACCGUGAGAUGCGUGAUUGGCACACUCAUUUGAAUCUUCAAAAUGACUUGGUUGAGCACGUGUGGGAUCACAUUGGCAACCAAUAG